CGCGUAGGUGGUAGUGAAAGUCUAUGGUGGUAUCUUAGGGCUUAACCCUAAAACUGCCUUGGAAACUUCAUUACUUGAGUCAGUGAGGGGAGGGUAGAAUUCCUGGUGUAGCGGUGAAAUGCGUAGAUAUCAGGAGGAAGGCCGGUGGCGAAGGCGGCCCUCUGGCGCUGAACUGACGCUGAGGCGCGAAAGCGUGGGUAGCAAACAGGAUUAGAUACCCUGGUAGUCCACGCCCUAAACGGUGGGUACUAGGUGUAGGGCUCGUAAGGGUUCUGUGCCGAAGGGAAACCAUUAAGUACCCCGCCUGGGGAGUACGGCCGCAAGGUUGAA
RNAcentral lists this ribosomal RNA (330 nucleotides) under uncultured bacterium. RNAcentral's name for it is "bacterial SSU rRNA". It matches the Rfam family "Bacterial small subunit ribosomal RNA", at positions 568 to 898 of the family's 1533-position model. The record is from RNAcentral.